RNAcentral lists this ribosomal RNA (443 nucleotides) under uncultured bacterium. Its description in RNAcentral is "partial 16S ribosomal RNA". It matches the Rfam family "Bacterial small subunit ribosomal RNA", at positions 338 to 795 of the family's 1533-position model. The record is from RNAcentral.
CCUACGGGAGGCAGCAGUGGGGAAUAUUGGGCAAUGGGCGCAAGCCUGACCCAGCAACGCCGCGUGAAGGAAGAAGGCUUUCGGGUUGUAAACUUCUUUUCUCAGGGACGAAGCAAGUGACGGUACCUGAGGAAUAAGCCACGGCUAACUACGUGCCAGCAGCCGCGGUAAUACGUAGGUGGCAAGCGUUAUCCGGAUUUACUGGGUGUAAAGGGCGUGUAGGCGGGAAAGCAAGUCAAAUGUGAAAACCAUGGGCUCAACCUGUGGCCUGCAUUUGAAACUGUUUUUCUUGAGUACUGGAGAGGCAGACGGAAUUCCUAGUGUAGCGGUGAAAUGCGGAGAUAUUAGGAGGAACACCAGUGGCGAAGGCGGUCUGCUGGACAGCAACUGACGCUGAGGCGCGAAAGCGUGGGGAGCAAACAGGAUUAGAUACCCUAGUAGUC